UUUUUCCGUUACCACAAAUGCGACCAAGCAUGCCUUGAAAGUGGGAUAUGAAGACGCUACAUCCGAGCCUUCGUAGAAGUCCGAAUUGAUGAACCACUGCAAGUUUUCAGAGAACUCCCAACAAAAGAGAAGGAGAUGCUUGAGUUUAAAUUUGAGAAGGUAACUCAUUAUUGUCUAUAUUGCGGAAGGAUGGGACACUCAGCAAGCUACUAUGAGUGCAAAGAAGAGGAAAUUAACAAAGGGGGAAGUGGCGACCUACCAGGGAUCUACGAGUACUGAAUCAGGGCGGGUUCUGGCCCCAGGAAGGAUGUAUACUGGAUAUAACAAUGAUGUAAUAAUGAUAUAAAUGUGAAUGUAAAAUUUUACAUAUGAAAUCGACAUAAUAAGCCUAUUAAAAGACAUAAUAAAAAAUGCAUAACAGACUCAUAAAGUGUAUAUAUUACCGAUAUAAAAGAGUGGUAAACUGGAUAUAACGAUAAUAAAUUCAACUACUCGUAAUGUGGACUUAACAACGACAUAACGAGCCCGUAAAAUGGUCGUAUUAGCGACAUAACAUGUUCGUACAAUGAUCACACUCAUGUGACUUUUCCCAAUUUUUUUGUUUCGAAACUACCCUCACUUCGUUUGACUCAUUUUCGGCCGUUGGAUCAAAGUUGACCAAAAAAUAGCCUAAUCCAACGACUCACGAUCUGCCGAGACAAUCUCUCGGAUCUGGCUCUCGAACCAUUAGCAUGGUUGCUAUCCUAAAGCAUACUCAUGGGGAUUGAUAGGUCUGAGUCCCAGCAAGUCGGCCAAAGCCAAACAUCACGUGGACCAAGUUAAUGACGGAUCCAAAAUCGAAAUGUGUAUUGAGCCGUAUUUGAAUUGAAUUUUGUGUAUUGACUAUUGAGUAACCACUUUUCAAAAAUAUUUUUUAAACAUAAUAAUAAGUUAAAAUAUACGAAAAAACAUUAGUUGUGCUAUUUUUAGUUAAAGUUGUAUUUCAAGAUUAAAUGUGCCACCAACGAUUUUUUUAUAAUCAAGUAAUAAUAAAUGCGAGUACUUAGCCGAGAUUAUGAUUAAUAUAUAUCAAGUAUUGAACCGAAACAAUAUAACACUAAACCGGAUCUAAAAUUGUCUUGAGCCAGAUUCAAAAAAAUCGUAAAUAUAUAUGAAAUUACGGUCCGAAAUUACCCUAAAUCGUGACGGACUCUGGCUCUUUUGGAUCCGCCCCUGGAUCGAGUUUGCCUCAAAAGAUUAGGGUCAUUUACUCAGAAGCGAAUAAGAAUGCGGGAGGUUGUUAUUGGUGGGUAUUUUGGUGUGUAUAAAAUAAUAAAAAUCCGAAGGUAGGUAGCAGGAAAAGAUGUGGAUGGAUUGGAGUAACGCACCAGUAAAAGCAGGCAGGAAAUUUGAAGUAAGAAGUGCUAUUCGCUGGCAGCCAUUCGGUGACGUGGUAGGCAGACAGCAAAAGCACCGCUCCAAGCAAAGCAAAGCAACAGCGGCUGCACACUUUCUAACCUCCCACUCCCACGUUUAUACCAUUCCACCACUACCAUCUUAUUAGAAACAAUAAAACAAAAACCAAGAGGGUAAAAAGAUCUCUCAGAAAUGAAAAACCUUCAGCUCCUUGUUCAAGUCAUACCUAUUGCAUGCAAACGCACAAGACUGUUAAGGUGACACGUGUUGAAACAGCCAGCAAUAACCGACUCCAAGAUUUCGAAAACAGAGGACCAGAGCGAGCCAGAGGUCAGAAGUUUGUUUCUGUAAAUAAAACUGAAUUUUCGUACCUCCCAAUCCAAAUUCUGACAGAUGGAUCCACGCAUGGAAGCCACACCCCACACGCGUUAGUCAGAGUCGGGAGACCUUUCCUUCAUUGAUUGGUGGGUUUGGGUUUCAAGACCAAAGUGGGGGAAUCAAUCCAGUAGUAGUAAUAAUCUGAAUUAUCACUGGGUGGGAGUUGUCCUGACUUUAUCCGUGUGUGUGAAUCAAUGGAUGAGACUCGACUCUUUUCUUUUACAACUGCUGUUUCAGUUAUCUCUUUUACCUUCCUUCUUUGCGUUAAAUGAGGCAGAGAGAGACAGAGAGAGACAGAGAGAGGAAGGCCAUAUCCAGUGUACCUGAAAAAUAGUGAUAUGUGUUAGCAUGCAUGGACCCAAUAAUACAUACUAUCCCACAUGUCCUUCCUUCUUAAACUCUCUCAAACACGUACACCUCAUGCUUCGGUUCCAAAUGUCGCUAUUUCCUUCCUAUUUGCUUCAUGCAGCCUCAUUGGCUGCUACCAUCUUCACUUAAAUACCCCACCCCUCAUUCCCCACCACCUUACUCAUCAUGCCUCCCUCGCUUCACUUUCACUUCCCUCCCUCAUUAUCCUUGCCAAUGCUUCUCCUACGAAUCUACCAAUAAGAAAAAUCAAGAAUUCCCUUCCUUUGUGAAAUUUCAGAGCCCGAGAUUGAGUUUGUGCCUUCAGCAGCUUCAACUCACUUUCUC
RNAcentral lists this long non-coding RNA (2466 nucleotides) under Linum usitatissimum (flax). RNAcentral describes it as "long non-coding RNA (LUSI_LNC006366)". The record is from RNAcentral. Lineage: Eukaryota; Viridiplantae; Streptophyta; Magnoliopsida; Malpighiales; Linaceae.